CACGUAGGGCGCAAGCGUUGUCCGGAAUUAUUGGGCGUAAAGAGCUCGUAGGUGGUUUGUUACGUCCGCUGUGAAAUCCUAGGGCUUAACCCUGGGCUUGCAGUGGAUACGGGCAGACUAGAGGUAGGUAGGGGAGAAUGGAAUUCCCGGUGUAGCAGUGAAAUGCGUAGAUAUCGGGAGGAAUACCGAUGGCGAAGGCAGGUCUCUGGGCUAUAACUGACGCUCAUGCACGAAAGCGUGGGGAGCAAACAGG
This 253-nucleotide ribosomal RNA is filed under the name uncultured bacterium. Its description in RNAcentral is "partial 16S ribosomal RNA". It matches the Rfam family "Bacterial small subunit ribosomal RNA", at positions 524 to 776 of the family's 1533-position model. The record is from RNAcentral.